CGGGGUAUAGCUCAGUUGGUAGAGCGCACGCUUCGGGUGCGUGAGGCCGCCCGUUCGAGUCGGGCUACCCCGACCA
Molecule: transfer RNA, 76 nt
Filed under: Candidatus Saccharimonadota bacterium
Lineage: Bacteria; Candidatus Saccharimonadota
Description: tRNA-Pro
Rfam family: tRNA
About the family: Transfer RNA (tRNA) molecules are approximately 80 nucleotides in length. Their secondary structure includes four short double-helical elements and three loops (D, anti-codon, and T loops).
Source: RNAcentral